UACGUAGGGUCCGAGCGUUGUCCGGAAUUAUUGGGCGUAAAGAGCUCGUAGGCGGUUUGUCGCGUCUGCUGUGAAAUCCCGAGGCUCAACCUCGGGCCUGCAGUGGGUACGGGCAGACUGGAGUGCGGUAGGGGAGAACGGAAUUCCUGGUGUAGCGGUGAAAUGCGCAGAUAUCAGGAGGAACACCGGUGGCGAAGGCGGUUCUCUGGGCAUUACCUGACGCUGAGGAGCGAAAGCAUGGGGAGCGAACAGG
This 253-nucleotide ribosomal RNA is filed under the name uncultured bacterium. Its description in RNAcentral is "partial 16S ribosomal RNA". It matches the Rfam family "Bacterial small subunit ribosomal RNA", at positions 524 to 776 of the family's 1533-position model. The record is from RNAcentral.